Molecule: long non-coding RNA, 2381 nt
Organism: Topomyia yanbarensis
Lineage: Eukaryota; Metazoa; Arthropoda; Insecta; Diptera; Culicidae
Exons: 3
Source: RefSeq, a predicted model, not a curated record
CUUAAAUUUGAGUAUAAAAAACCUAUCAAUGAGUUGUAAUUUUUGCCGUGGUUAAAUGGAAACUACCUUCAACACGGUUUACCUAAUUUUAAGUUCCCCCACGAUACCACGAGAUUGAGUCAAAGGAACUCAAUUUUAGGUAGUUUUUCGUUUCCGUGAAAACUUGCGUUCUGGUUACUCAAUUUCAUAAUAUAAAGUCAAAGUUUGUGAAGUUUUGAGUUGAAUAAAACUAACUCUAUUGCAUCUUGAAGCGAAACUUAACUUGACAAUGCAACGAUUCAGCUCAUGAUCUAUUACAGUGAAGCAGUGUGUUUUCUUAACUUGCAAUGGCUCUAGGCAUGUGCCCAAAACCUAGGAUCUAAAACAACUUACCGGUCCGGCAUCGACUAACGGUUAACGGCAAUAAAGUAAAUCAUUUAUAUUUAUAAACCAACUAAAGAAUUAAGGAUUGAGUGGUGUAUAUGUCUGAUACAAGAUAGGUAAGAACUUCGUCAAUCAGAAUCAAAAUUCCUUUAAUAUUUUUUUGAGCCGGGAAAGUAUAAGAUGGUAUAUAGUGCUAUUUCUGGUAUAUGAAACAUACCCGCAGAGAUCUGCUCUUGUUGCAGCGUGGCAAUUAUGCAGCCGGAAGUACACCAACAACCGAUGAUGCGUCGAGGGCAGCCGUUUAACCUUGGCAUCCGGAGAGUAAACUAUUUUUAGGACGUUCGAGAUGUUUACAGUUCAGUGCAAUUCAUCCUCCUGUUUGCACAAUCGCAUAUCAACAAUCAUUGGAAUGACUAAAGAUUUUUCGCCGGAAAUCAGGAUUCGAGCUGGAAAAUAAGUAUAACAAUGACACUUAUGCAGAUGCGGAUAAGACGCUUAUAGCUGAUAGCAGCAAAAUAAAGAUUCAGAGUGGACUGCAGGUUGUUAGAGUGGAAGCGAUGUGCCAGUAUUCAGUAUUGCUGAGAGUAGAGAACAACUUAUUGCACCUGUCUGGCGAACGAAUGAGCGGCCAGGAGGCCGGUCAAACUCUGUCGAGCAAUGAAAGUAACGAGGUGGGAUCUACGUGCACGAUCCAAUGUUUCUGAACAAAAGCAACAUGUCUUUAUCCUUCGUUUGGUAGUAUAAAUUGAAACGAAAACAAGGAUAAGAUGGCGACUUGAUUUGGAGUGAGUGAUUUAAAGUGCGAGUCACAUUGUACCAGAAGCAUAGCUACAGUGCAAUAGAUGUAUUUCAUAAUGUUCUGUACUAAAUUAAUUUUCUUGUAGUCACAAUACCCGUGCGCAAAAAAAAGGGAUGUAGGGGUUCAAACUCCUCCCAUAAGGGUUUUGACUCACGUUUUAAAAAAUAUUAACUUCCUGUUUAGGAAAAAAAUAUACUGCGAGUCGUUGUUAUACAUAAAACAUCACUUGAGUUCGGUCACUCUAGAAACAAGUCAUUGAAGUAGCCAAGGAAGAAGCCAGGGUGGCUGAAAAGGGAUGUAAGUCAAGUUGGUCGGCUUCUCUGGAUCGGUUCACAUUUCGACAAGUUUUUAUAUUACAACAGUUGUGAGCACAAUAGUUACACAGCAAAGUCGGUCAGCGCUAAGCAAGAAAAAUUCAAAGUCGGAGAAAGUAGGGAUAUCGUAGUCUGGAAAAAUUUCACCGCUAAUGAUUUCUCCGUUGGAGUGACUGAUAGCUGAAUAACUCGUGGAAAUGGGCAUAGGUGUCGGAAGCAGUACCGCCGUCGAGGAAGUGAGGAACUUUCAGCACCAGUUAGCAAAUACAUAAGAACGAGUAGCGCCAAGAACCCUACCCUACGAAGACAAUUGCUAAGAAAUCAUUAUGGUCGACAAGUCCAGAUUGGUUUGAGUCUCCACAAAUGACGAUAUUUGCCGCAGACCUAAGCAGGACCGAUAUACCGCGAAGGUUGGACAGCAAGCAACAAAAAGUAGCAAUGAAAAAAAAAACACAAACGAUUAACACAAAAUAAAAUGAGCUACAGCACACUCGUUAUUAAAAUAGUACCUAAUAGUUGCCCCGGAAGAAUGAGGAUUGCAAGAUACAAGAGAUUUAGGUUUAGUCGUUAGGCUUAACUUAACUACUACAGAUCAAUCGCGGACACUAUCACGAGUUAGCAGACCGCGGUGUCUGUUCAAGAUUCCUUCCCGAUAACAAACAUUUACUAAAUUUGUUGAGCUAAGUCGAUUGGACACAGGGCUCGGCCCUCUAGGUUUCGAAAAAAAUCUCCAAAGCUUGAUGGUUUCUUUGUCAUUCUUUUAUAAGAAACGUAAAAAAAUCAAAACCCUCCCCUUGAGAAUUUUCUUCGCACGGGCCUGGUCGCAAUGAAUACAUAAAUGAUAAUAGUAGUAUUGGCAUUACGUCUAAACAUAUUUUGAAAAAUAAAUAAAUAUAGGUAUACGA